CUACCCAAUUUAAGUUUUCCUAAUAUUUACUAAAAUUAUUUUCCUAUAUAGAUAGUCCCUCUGAUUUUUGAGAUUAGAACUGACUAUCUUUGGAAAAUAGAAAGAUCUGAAAGCUAGCUGGUCCAAGACUUUAUCUAAGGCACUGUACCUACUUAAAUUAACCUCUCAUCUACAAACCAUGUGUCACCUUUUUUAGACAUAUUUUUCUCAUAUUUUCUUAGUCCUUUGAUAUUAUUUCUGCUUUUUUUCCUUGAUUCUUCCUUUUUUCAUUAUCCCUCAUCUUGCGUUAAGUGAUGUCAUCCUCCGACCUUUUUUCCAUGGAAGUGAAUGUUGUUGUUGCUCUUACCAAGCUAGGUUGUGCUCUCAGACCUCGAAUGAAACUACUCGCCGGUAGCAAGAUAAGUACAUGUUAUCAGCUUAGAUUUGCUUCCAUGUAAGCCUUAUCUUUUGGAGAUUUGGAAGAUCCUUGGGUCUGCGUGCUCGAAAGAGUGUACUAUAUUUCUACCUAUAAAGUAUGGAUCUCUAAGGAUCACGGAGGUGGGGCUCCACAUAGUAAGGUCAUGAAACAUCAAAGUGGGUGUGAUCAUUUCUCGCUUGCUUCAUUGAUUGUAUAAUAAUAUAUUCUAUUUAUUAUGGAGGUAGAUUUACCAAUCAGUAUGAAAACAUUAUAACUCUUCUUAAUGGUUUAAAAUGCAAACAUUUAGGAGAAUUUA
Long non-coding RNA from Capsicum annuum, 713 nucleotides. RefSeq lists it as uncharacterized. The record is from RefSeq and is a predicted model, not a curated record. Lineage: Eukaryota; Viridiplantae; Streptophyta; Magnoliopsida; Solanales; Solanaceae. The transcript is spliced from 4 exons.